Molecule: ribosomal RNA, 253 nt
Filed under: uncultured bacterium
Lineage: Bacteria
Description: partial 16S ribosomal RNA
Rfam family: Bacterial small subunit ribosomal RNA
Source: RNAcentral
UACGUAGGGGGCAAGCGCUAUCCGGAUUUACUGGGUGUAAAGGGAGCGUAGACGGCAGGGCAAGUCUGGAGUGAAAGGCAGGGGCCCAACCCCUGGACUGCUCUGGAAACUGUCCGGCUGGAGUGCAGGAGAGGUAAGUGGAAUUCCUAGUGUAGCGGUGAAAUGCGUAGAUAUUAGGAGGAACACCAGUGGCGAAGGCGGCUUACUGGACUGUAACUGACGUUGAGGCUCGAAAGCGUGGGGAGCAAACAGG